AGAAGAACCACAGUUUACUGUGACUAAAACCGCUUGAAAUCAGAGACAACAGGUGGCCAGCUGUUCCUCUCACAGCUCCAGGUGUUUUCCCUGUGUUCUUACGACGUAGUUUGUGUUACCUGCUUGCCUGCAUACCUGCCUUCUAUCUUUUCCAGCCAUCUGCCUUGCUGCUGGAUUAAAAAUAAGCAAACGCAGUUUCCUCUCCAGUGUUUUCUGAAAAUGACCAGAUACAAGAUAAGCCUCUUUGUGUGCAUAUGUGUAAACACUCACCAAGGUGU
Xiphias gladius (swordfish) is the source of this 278-nucleotide long non-coding RNA. RefSeq lists it as uncharacterized. The transcript is spliced from 3 exons. The record is from RefSeq and is a predicted model, not a curated record. NCBI's taxonomy places the organism in Eukaryota, Metazoa, Chordata, Actinopteri, Istiophoriformes, Xiphiidae.